CUUAGUGGCGGACGGGUGAGUAACGCGUGGGUAACCUGCCUCACACAGGGGGAUAACAGUUAGAAAUGACUGCUAAUACCGCAUAACCCGAUAGGAUCGCAUGAUCCAGACGGAAAAGAUUUAUCGGUGUGAGAUGGACCCGCGUCUGAUUAGCUAGUUGGUGAGGUAACGGCCCACCAAGGCGACGAUCAGUAGCCGGCCUGAGAGGGUGAACGGCCACAUUGGGACUGAGACACGGCCCAAACUCC
RNAcentral lists this ribosomal RNA (248 nucleotides) under uncultured Lachnospiraceae bacterium. RNAcentral describes it as "partial 16S ribosomal RNA". It matches the Rfam family "Bacterial small subunit ribosomal RNA", at positions 91 to 339 of the family's 1533-position model. Lineage: Bacteria; Bacillati; Bacillota; Clostridia; Lachnospirales; Lachnospiraceae. The record is from RNAcentral.